CCUACGGGGGGCUGCAGUCGAGAAUAUUCCACAAUGGACGAAAGUCUGAUGGAGCGACGCCGCGUGCAGGAUGAAGGCCCUUGGGUUGUAAACUGCUUUUGUAAGGGAAGAAUUUCGAUGACGGUACCUUACGAAUAAGAGGUUACUAACUCUGUGCCAGCAGUAGCGGUAAUACAGAGACCUCAAGCGUUAUCCGGAUUUAUUGGGCGUAAAGAGCUGGUAGGUUGUUAUAUUAGUCAGAUGUCAAAUCUUCGAGCUCAACUCGAAAACUGCAUUUGAAACGGUAUAACUAGAGGGUGUGAGAGAUCUAUGGAACUCAUGGUGUAGCAGUGAAAUGCGUUGAUAUCAUGAGGAACACCAAAGGCGAAGGCAUUAGAUUGGCACACUCCUGACACUGAGCAGCGAAAGCGUGGGUAGCGAAUGGGAUUAGAUACCCCUGUAGUC
RNAcentral lists this ribosomal RNA (444 nucleotides) under uncultured bacterium. RNAcentral's name for it is "bacterial SSU rRNA". It matches the Rfam family "Bacterial small subunit ribosomal RNA", at positions 338 to 795 of the family's 1533-position model. The record is from RNAcentral.